Molecule: unclassified non-coding RNA, 2776 nt
Filed under: Owenia fusiformis
Lineage: Eukaryota; Metazoa; Annelida; Polychaeta; Sabellida; Oweniidae
Description: misc RNA OFUS_LOCUS8305
Source: RNAcentral
UCAAAGACUAAUGCCACAUUGCCUACAUUAAUAUCAUAUACUGUAUAAACAGGCAACAGAGAAAUGCCACUGCGUAUACUUUUAUACCAUCAGGAGUACAAGCCACCCUGCAUACCUUAAUACCAUGGACAAUUUUUUAAUAUCUAUACCAGUAUAUAUUGGUAUAUAUGGAUUCUCAUUAUUUAAUGCAGCACAUGUUUUAAACAUAUUAACUGAUCAUGAUAAUUAGACGGAGGUCCCAAUGCAAUACGAUAAUGGUGAAGCAAUAAACUCCCUUACAAGAUUAUCACCAAAGAGCACUUGUUUAGAAUAAUCUGUCAGUAUUGAAGAGGCCAUCUUGGAAAUAUUGGAGCGGUGUGUAGCGGCAGUGUAAAGUGAAGGUCUGGAUCGAUAGAUGUUUUAGUGAAACGAAGUAGCAGUGGAUUGUCAUCGCCAGCUCUGUGUUAACGUUAACCUGCAGCUUGGAUGCCGGGCUCUGAAACAAGAAUAAUAGUGGCGCAUAUUGGUAUAUAAUAUAAGAUGGCUUUGGGGUGAACGUAGCGUCAAGGUGAAGCAUACAUCGCGAGUCUACUGUCAUAUACGUCACCGAUGCUGAACUGGAAACAAUUACACGAGGAUAACACUGUACCGAGAAGUAGAGUGAUAUGGCAGCUGAUAUCAAGCCAACAAUACAACAUGUCUCUGAGCUACAAACUAGUAACGAUUUUACUCUAAGUAAUGUCACUGUAACAACAAAUGAUGUCACGUCAUUUACUAGCGAUGUUUCUCAGUUUGGCGGUAACAGCAAUUGGAAAUCAGUAGCCACUGAUUUGUCUACAUUGGCUGUCCCGUCCGAUACCAAUUCACCUACAGAGCAGGUCCCUGUCGUACCGUUAGAUAUACAAUGGUACAAUAUAGAGGAAUAUGUAACGUUUGAGACAGUUAGACUUUUAUGGUUCUAUGCAUCCCCAACGUUGAUAGUUUUUGGAAGCUUGGGGAACUUUCUCUCCAUCGUCGUAUUCCAAAGUUCUACCCUGAAAAGUACAAGUACAGGCUUGUAUCUUACAGUGUUAGCUAUAAUGGAUAUAUUAGUUCUAUAUACCAAAGUCAUGCAUGUCUGGAUGUUGACUCUGCAUGGAUGGAGUUACGCGUCUACGAGGAGAUGGAUUUGCAAGCUGUUUAUUUUCAGCAGCAGUUUUUCUACUCAAAUGUCAUCGUGGUUAUUGGUGAUCAUAUUGGUUGAACGAGCCAUUAUUGUCUGUAAGCCUCUCAAGUCAACUCGUAUAUGCACUAUGCAAAAUGCUGCCAUAACUCUUGGUGGCUUUAUUGUUACUUUCACUGGAAUUAACCUCCAUUCUCUAUGGACACAAUGUAACUCUACUCAGGCUUUUAACAAAUCCUCACAUUCCACUAGACAAGCGUCCUAUUUAGCACUCAAUAGAGACAAUUGGCCAUGGGUACAUAUUUUUAUAUCAUAUAUAAUUCCAUGUCUUGUUGUAUUUUUCACGUGCCUUGUUGUGUUUUUCAAAUAUUCCCGCUCUCGUCACCAACGUAAAGAUACUAUGCUUAUGGCUAUCUCAAAACUGAAACCUAACAGGACAACAACACUAACUGGAAUGUUGUUAGUUAUUGGCUUUCUCUUUGUUAUAUUCGCCUUACCAUGCGCCAUAUAUUUUCUUUAUGCUAAGACGUUUACUCCACAAAACCAUAAUUUUUUCAGAUCUGACAAAAAUGCACUUGCACACUCCUGUCUCUUGUUGAUAGUGUAUGCUUAUCACUCUACAAAGGUUAUCUUCUACUAUGCAACUGCCACAAAAUUUAAACGAGAAGUAUUAAAACUUCUUCGUUUAAGAAAAUCAAAACCAUACGUAAAUAAUCAUAUAAGACCUAAGGUUAAAUACAUAUCUGAGUAUGGGAGGAGAAGUGACAAUAAACAAACACUGAAUGUCCCACAAUUGUCUGUUGGAAAUCGUACCAAUUCGAACAUUGCGAUUUCUGAAAUGGAAGCUACUUCAUGUACCGCAACGACACCUAUCGAUCCCCCUCAAAGCUGUAAUGAAGGUAAUGAGAGUACUCAACCCAUUCCAUCUUCAUCGACAAAUUGGAUGUAAGGACAAGAAAAUAACGUGUCUUAUUAAUUUUAAUGUAUUUGUUCGUAUAUGCACUACAACUAUUGAGGGUACAGAAUGGGAGUGUGGGAAUAUAUACAGAAGAACGUUUGAAAUCCAGUUUUCCCUUAAAAUGGGAUUCGCACUUGUUAUCAUAUACUUGUUAUCACCUGAGAAUUAUCCAACAGUGUUCUAACUCACAUUUAUUUGUCAUCUUGUGAAAACUGAAUUUAUAAUUCCAACUUAUUUCACAAAGCACCAUCACCAAAAGAGUUUUUUACAAUAAAUGAGUGUUGGUCUCUUCAUCAGCAUAAUUGUGAAAAACAGUUUUGACAUUUUGAAGAAGAAGUGAAAUGCAUUAACUUAAUUACAAUAUAGUAUUAAUCUAUCAUCAAAUACUUGAUAAAUGGUCGGUCAACUCCCGAGCGUCUAUUCUUAUUGAAAUAUCAGAACUUGUUUCCAAAGAUCACAUUUUAACCUUUAAGUUGCUCUUACACAUCUUCGCACACUCGGUUUAACACAGUGGCAUGGAGUUUUCAAAGUUGUUAAGGAUCCGUUUCGGUCCCUUCCAAGUGAACAUUCUAUGGCACUGGAUUUGUUCUACGGAAUAUAACUGAUCAUUUCAGUAAAAAUGCUGACUUUAGCCAAGUAAACUCAUUUGAAUACAUUCGCCAAAACGUAAAAACAGA